GCUUGGUUGGCUCAGUGGUUGGGCGCCUGCCUUCGGCUCAAGUCGUGAUCCUGGGGUCUGGGAUCAAGUCCCAGAUCAGGCU
Molecule: transfer RNA, 82 nt
Filed under: Canis lupus familiaris (dog)
Lineage: Eukaryota; Metazoa; Chordata; Mammalia; Carnivora; Canidae
Also listed under: 1 other name
Rfam family: tRNA
About the family: Transfer RNA (tRNA) molecules are approximately 80 nucleotides in length. Their secondary structure includes four short double-helical elements and three loops (D, anti-codon, and T loops).
Source: Rfam by way of RNAcentral